Molecule: ribosomal RNA, 386 nt
Filed under: uncultured bacterium
Lineage: Bacteria
Description: bacterial SSU rRNA
Rfam family: Bacterial small subunit ribosomal RNA
Source: RNAcentral
AUUGAACGCUGGCGGCAUGCCUUACACAUGCAAGUCGAACGGCAGCACGGGAGCAAUCCUGGUGGCGAGUGGCGAACGGGUGAGUAAUACAUCGGAACGUGCCCAGUAGUGGGGGGAUAACCCGGCGAAAGCCGGACUAAUACCGCAUACGACCUACGGGUGAAAGCAGGGGAUCGCAAGACCUUGCGCUAUUGGAGCGGCCGAUGUCAGAUUAGCUUGUUGGGGGGUAAAAGCCUACCAAGGCAACGAUCUGUAGCUGGUCUGAGAGGACGACCAGCCACACUGGGACUGAGACACGGCCCAGACUCCUACGGGAGGCAGCAGUGGGGAAUUUUGGACAAUGGGCGCAAGCCUGAUCCAGCCAUGCCGCGUGCGGGAAGAAGGCC